GGGGUUGUGGCUCAGUGGUAGAGCACUUGCUUAGCAUGCUUGAGGCACUGGGUUCGAACCCCAGCACCA
This 69-nucleotide transfer RNA is filed under the name Ictidomys tridecemlineatus (thirteen-lined ground squirrel). RNAcentral describes it as "Spermophilus tridecemlineatus (thirteen-lined ground squirrel) tRNA". It matches the Rfam family "tRNA". From Rfam's summary of the family: Transfer RNA (tRNA) molecules are approximately 80 nucleotides in length. RNAcentral also lists the same sequence under 1 other name. The record is from Rfam by way of RNAcentral. Lineage: Eukaryota; Metazoa; Chordata; Mammalia; Rodentia; Sciuridae.